RNAcentral lists this ribosomal RNA (425 nucleotides) under uncultured bacterium. RNAcentral's name for it is "bacterial SSU rRNA". It matches the Rfam family "Bacterial small subunit ribosomal RNA", at positions 354 to 776 of the family's 1533-position model. The record is from RNAcentral.
GUGAGGAAUAUUGGUCAAUGGGCGAGAGCCUGAACCAGCCAAGUCGCGUGAAGGAAGAAGGAUCUAUGGUUCGUAAACUUCUUUUGCAGGGGAAUAAAGUGCAGGACGUGUCCUGUUUUGUAUGUACCCUGAGAAUAAGGAUCGGCUAACUCCGUGCCAGCAGCCGCGGUAAUACGGAGGAUCCGAGCGUUAUCCGGAUUUAUUGGGUUUAAAGGGUGCGUAGGUGGUUUAAUAAGUCAGCGGUGAAAGUUUGCAGCUUAACUGUAAAAAUGCCGUUGAAACUGUUAGACUUGAGUGUAAAUGAGGUAGGCGGAAUGCGUGGUGUAGCGGUGAAAUGCUUAGAUAUCACGCAGAACUCCGAUUGCGAAGGCAGCUUACCAAGCUACAACUGACACUGAAGCACGAAAGCGUGGGGAUCAAACAGG